Molecule: ribosomal RNA, 1477 nt
Filed under: Salmonella enterica
Lineage: Bacteria; Pseudomonadati; Pseudomonadota; Gammaproteobacteria; Enterobacterales; Enterobacteriaceae
Description: partial 23S ribosomal RNA
Rfam family: Bacterial large subunit ribosomal RNA
Source: RNAcentral
AGACCCGAAACCCGGUGAUCUAGCCAUGGGCAGGUUGAAGGUUGGGUAACACUAACUGGAGGACCGAACCGACUAAUGUUGAAAAAUUAGCGGAUGACCUGUGGCUGGGGGUGAAAGGCCAAUCAAACCGGGAGAUAGCUGGUUCUCCCCGAAAGCUAUUUAGGUAGCGCCUCGUGAAUUCAUCUCCGGGGGUAGAGCACUGUUUCGGCUAGGGGGCCAUCCCGGCUUACCAACCCGAUGCAAACUGCGAAUACCGGAGAAUGUUAUCACGGGAGACACACGGCGGGUGCUAACGUCCGUCGUGAAGAGGGAAACAACCCAGACCGCCAGCUAAGGUCCCAAAGUCAUGGUUAAGUGGGAAACGAUGUGGGAAGGCCCAGACAGCCAGGAUGUUGGCUUAGAAGCAGCCAUCAUUUAAAGAAAGCGUAAUAGCUCACUGGUCGAGUCGGCCUGCGCGGAAGAUGUAACGGGGCUAAACCAUGCACCGAAGCUGCGGCAGCGACACUGUGUGUUGUUGGGUAGGGGAGCGUUCUGUAAGCCUGUGAAGGUGUGUCGUGAGGCAUGCUGGAGGUAUCAGAAGUGCGAAUGCUGACAUAAGUAACGAUAAAGCGGGUGAAAAGCCCGCUCGCCGGAAGACCAAGGGUUCCUGUCCAACGUUAAUCGGGGCAGGGUGAGUCGACCCCUAAGGCGAGGCCGAAAGGCGUAGUCGAUGGGAAACGGGUUAAUAUUCCCGUACUUGGUGUUACUGCGAAGGGGGGACGGAGAAGGCUAUGUUGGCCGGGCGACGGUUGUCCCGGUUUAAGCGUGUAGGUGUGUGUUCCAGGUAAAUCCGGUUCACUUUAACACUGAGGCGUGACGACGAGGCACUACGGUGCUGAAGCAACAAAUGCCCUGCUUCCAGGAAAAGCCUCUAAGCAUCAGGUAACAUCAAAUCGUACCCCAAACCGACACAGGUGGUCAGGUAGAGAAUACCAAGGCGCUUGAGAGAACUCGGGUGAAGGAACUAGGCAAAAUGGUGCCGUAACUUCGGGAGAAGGCACGCUGACACGUAGGUGAAGUGAUUUACUCAUGGAGCUGAAGUCAGUCGAAGAUACCAGCUGGCUGCAACUGUUUAUUAAAAACACAGCACUGUGCAAACACGAAAGUGGACGUAUACGGUGUGACGCCUGCCCGGUGCCGGAAGGUUAAUUGAUGGGGUCAGCGCAAGCGAAGCUCCUGAUCGAAGCCCCGGUAAACGGCGGCCGUAACUAUAACGGUCCUAAGGUAGCGAAAUUCCUUGUCGGGUAAGUUCCGACCUGCACGAAUGGCGUAAUGAUGGCCAGGCUGUCUCCACCCGAGACUCAGUGAAAUUGAACUCGCUGUGAAGAUGCAGUGUACCCGCGGCAAGACGGAAAGACCCCGUGAACCUUUACUAUAGCUUGACACUGAACAUUGAGCCUUGAUGUGUAGGAUAGGUGGGAGGCUUUGAAGCGUGGAC